RNAcentral lists this long non-coding RNA (1784 nucleotides) under Medicago truncatula (barrel medic). RNAcentral's name for it is "long non-coding RNA (MTRU_LNC003162)". The record is from RNAcentral. Lineage: Eukaryota; Viridiplantae; Streptophyta; Magnoliopsida; Fabales; Fabaceae.
CUGUUUAUAAAUUGAUAGUGUUAUUGAGUGAUGAGCAACAUUAAUGGAAAGUUUUCCACUAAACAUAACAUGAUGAUAAUAAUGAUGAUCCUAUAGAUAGCUGAAGCAUUUGUUAAAGGAUAUAUGAAACAUACACAAUUAGAUCCUUUCCAUAUCUGAAUCUGACAUGAAUUUGAACGCGUAACAAAAAUUCAACACUUAUAUCACAUGUGUUACUGAUUUUAUAUCCUUGUCAUAGAUCGUAUUUACGUCAUUUGUGAUGUCCAUGAUUCUUAGGCUGAAGGGACUGAGUUAUGAGGAGUAGUGAUGGACCAACUGGAGCUUUGAGACAGAUAGUAUGACAACAAAUAAUCCAAGUUCCUUUUUUGAUAGAAAAAUAUUACAUAUAGUUGCAUGUGGUAUGCCUCAUUUCCAUCUGUUCUAUUGUCAAGGCUGUUAUGAGAAUUGUUAGAGUUGAAACCUAUUCCCGCCUGCUCCUAACAAGUAAAUUUUGUUUUCUAGUUUUUCCUACUUGCAAAGAUUUGCAAUAGAAAAAUGUCUUUAAUGUAUUGUGCUAACUCUGUUGAAUUUAACUGUAGAAAUUCAAAGGUAAGACAUGGCUUACUUACCACAUAAGCUAUCACGAGUGAAAGUAAGUGUCCCAGCAGGUGAAUGUACACGAUCCCCUCCUUUUGGACCCCAUUCAACGAAAGGUUCAGCAUCACUAAUCUCAUAUCCACUUGUCCAUGUUACAGUCAUCUAUUUUAAAUGAUAAAUAAUAAUAUUUUAAUUUGAUAAAAUGAAAGAACCAUUUACAGUAAAGGCACUAAAUGGAAUAUAUAAAAUGCACAUUGUAUGCAGUGUAGGACAGAAGUUGAACUUACCUCAUUCCAAGACUUUCCUAGCGCCAGACGAGGGUAAACUGGUGCAUUUGGAUUAGCAAAAGCUAUUUUAUCCGACACUGCCACUAGCUUUGGCUACCAAAGGUAAAUUGGAACAAAUAAGAGAUUACAUUUAGUUAUAUUAUGAUAGAUGUGAAAAUCAGAAAGCUUCUGAAUUUAAAGCAUUGUUGAAUUUGAAGAAUUGGAGAAUCUGAUCCAAUUUACUGAUUAGAGAAUUAUGAUUCCAAUAUACCGAAAUCCAAAAGAAAUGUAAGUCAGCCGUGAUACCAGGAUAUAAAGGAUUUUGUUCUAUGCAUAUGCAAUUAUUUCCAUUUUUUGAGCAAAAUGACAUAUUAAAGCAUCACAAGGGAAAAUAUCAUCCCAAUGAAGUUGGCACUACAAUUAUAAACAAUCAUCUAUAGCACACCAUGAAUAUAUAAAAAAAUAAAAUAUAGUACGGAAGAACAAAAAUAUGAGUGACAAAAACCAAAACCUAAGAGAACAAAAACCAGAACUGCUUCUCAGCACAACAAUUUCAUCUAAAAUGAUAACUAAGAAGAACCUGUCUAACUGUCUAUCAUUACAGCCAAAAUCCUCACAGUGAAAUAAGGAAUUGAAUCCCACCAACUGAAGCCAGGAUAGUGAACAUGAACGCUAUAAGACAACUGCUUCUCAGCAAAACAAUUUCCUUCCCAAUGGAUAAGCAAAUCUUUGAAACUGCAUGUUUUUGCAAAUCAGUAUGCAGUUUCUCUUACAAGGUUGGCACCACAGUCCCCCUGACAAUCAUAUACAUCACAAAAAGUUUCCAAGAAAAGGGAUGGAACUAUGUUCGGACUGAAACAUAGUUUAGCUAUUUAACCAUAGUUUGUGCGUGUGUGGGUGUAAACACUACUUAUGCAUUAAAACUAUGUUUGGAUUGAUGGA